GUACUCUACUGUAUUCUGUUUAUAUAUUAUUAUUUUCUUCCACUCAGUAAUUAUUGACAGUGACGAGGAGGAAGAGGAGGAAGAGGAGGAGGAGAAGCCCUCUCCCCAACUUGGCCCUACACUGGAACAGGCCGCCGAGGAGGAGGAGGAUGAUGAUGAGGCGCAAUUUAGUGAUGACGAGCCUGAAUACAUUUUUG
Pseudophryne corroboree (corroboree frog) is the source of this 197-nucleotide long non-coding RNA. RefSeq lists it as uncharacterized. The transcript has 3 exons. NCBI's taxonomy places the organism in Eukaryota, Metazoa, Chordata, Amphibia, Anura, Myobatrachidae. The record is from RefSeq and is a predicted model, not a curated record.